AGUGAACGCUGGCGGUAGGCCUAACACAUGCAAGUCGAACGGCAGCACAGUAAGAGCUUGCUCUUACGGGUGGCGAGUGGCGGACGGGUGAGGAAUACAUCGGAAUCUACUUUUUCGUGGGGGAUAACGUAGGGAAACUUACGCUAAUACCGCAUACGACCUACGGGUGAAAGCAGGGGAUCUUCGGACCUUGCGCGAUUGAAUGAGCCGAUGUCGGAUUAGCUAGUUGGCGGGGUAAAGGCCCACCAAGGCGACGAUCCGUAGCUGGUCUGAGAGGAUGAUCAGCCACACUGGAACUGGGACACGGUCCAGACUCCUACGGGAGGCAGCAGUGGGGAAUAUUGGACAAUGGGCGCAAGCCUGAUCCAGCCAUACCGCGUGGGUGAAGAAGGCCUUCGGGUUGUAAAGCCCUUUUGUUGGGAAAGAAAAGCAGCAGGUUAAUACCCCGCUGUUCUGACGGUACCCAAAGAAUAAGCACCGGCUAACUUCGCG
RNAcentral lists this ribosomal RNA (492 nucleotides) under uncultured bacterium. Its description in RNAcentral is "partial 16S ribosomal RNA". It matches the Rfam family "Bacterial small subunit ribosomal RNA", at positions 29 to 507 of the family's 1533-position model. The record is from RNAcentral.